CGGAGGGGCGGGGCUGAGGCUGCGGGAGCUGGAGGAGGGAAGAAAAGGGAAUUCCAACCUGUGGAACCUUGGGGGGUCCCCGGGGUCGGCGCCUUCCCAUUGACUGUGGGCGGUGCAAGGGACGGAGCCUCUGGCGGCUCGUGGGGGUGUUGGGGUCCGCAGGGGGAGGGAGGGGAGUGUCAGAGUGUGAGUGGGGUACGGGAAUUCCAAAUUUGAGGGCCUCCCGGCUCUGGCGCCGGGGAGGGAGAGCUCAGGCCGCCAUGCGGGACAGGACCCACGAGCUGAGGCAGGGGGAUGACAGCUCGGACGAAGAGGACAAGGAGCGGGUCGCGCUGGUGUUGCACCCGGGCACGGCACGGCUGGGGAGCCCGGACGAGGAGUUCUUCCAGAAGGUCCGGACAAUUCGGCAGACUAUUGUCAAGCUGGGGAAUAAAGUCCAGGAGUUGGAGAAACAGCAGGUCACCAUCCUGGCCACGCCCCUUCCCGAGGAGGGUGAGUGACACCCCGGCUGCAGGGCGCAUGCUCCGCCCCAGGGAUUGUGGGGGUUGUAGUUCCACGCAGGUGGUGGUCAGGGUGGUUUGUUGAGGUGGGGGCUGCUGUUUGGGAGUCGUGGCCUUCUCUUAUUCAGGCAUGAAGCAGGAGCUGCAGAACCUGCGCGAUGAGAUCAAACAGCUGGGGAGGGAGAUCCGCCUGCAGCUGAAGGCCAUAGAGCCCCAGAAGGAGGAAGCUGAUGAGAACUAUAACUCCAUCAACACAAGAAUGAGAAAAACCCAGCAUGGGGUCCUGUCCCAGCAAUUCGUGGAGCUCAUCAACAAGUGCAAUUCAAUGCAGUCCGAAUACCGGGAGAAGAACGUGGAGCGGAUCCGGAGGCAGCUGAAGAUCAGUGAGUUGUGCGUGCCCAGCCUGGCCCACAGGGGCAGGUAAUCCCAACCCAGCCCUGAGCCUGGCCUUUUCCUUCACAGCCAAUGCUGGGAUGGUGUCUGACGAGGAGCUGGAGCAGAUGCUGGACAGUGGGCAAAGCGAGGUGUUUGUGUCCAAUAUCCUGAAGGACACGCAGGUGACUCGACAGGCCUUAAAUGAGAUCUCGGCCCGGCACAGUGAGAUCCAGCAGCUUGAACGCAGUAUUCGUGAGCUGCACGACAUCUUCACUUUUCUGGCUACUGAAGUGGAGAUGCAGGGGGAGAUGAUCAAUCGGAUUGAGAAGAACAUCCUGAGCUCAGCGGACUACGUGGAACGCGGGCAAGAGCACGUCAAGACGGCCCUGGAGAACCAGAAGAAGGCGAGGAAGGUGAGCCUCCCAGGCCCGGCCACUGUCCCAGGCACCCUGUGUGUCUUCCCUGACCCCCUCCUCUCCCACAGAAGAAAGUCUUGAUUGCCAUCUGUGUGUCCAUCACCGUCGUCCUCCUAGCAGUCAUCAUUGGCAUCACAGUGGUUGGAUAA
RNAcentral lists this small RNA (1440 nucleotides) under Pongo abelii (Sumatran orangutan). RNAcentral describes it as "retained intron". Lineage: Eukaryota; Metazoa; Chordata; Mammalia; Primates; Hominidae. The record is from RNAcentral.